RNAcentral lists this ribosomal RNA (254 nucleotides) under uncultured bacterium. Its description in RNAcentral is "partial 16S ribosomal RNA". It matches the Rfam family "Bacterial small subunit ribosomal RNA", at positions 524 to 776 of the family's 1533-position model. The record is from RNAcentral.
UACGUAGGUGGCAAGCGUUGUCCGGAUUUACUGGGCGUAAAGAGCGCGCAGGCGGUCGUUCAAGUCGCGUGUGAAAGCCCCCCGGCUCAACUGGGGAGGGUCACGCGAUACUGAUCGACUGGAAGGCAGGAGAGGGUAGUGGAAUUCCCGGUGUAGAGGUGAAAUGCGUGGAUAUCGAGAAGAACACUUAGGGCGAAGGCAAGACUCUGGACAAAUGCUGACGCUCAUGCACGAAGGCUAGGGUAGCGAACGGG